This 974-nucleotide ribosomal RNA is filed under the name Sutterella sp. CAG:521. RNAcentral's name for it is "SSU rRNA". It matches the Rfam family "Bacterial small subunit ribosomal RNA", at positions 8 to 976 of the family's 1533-position model. Lineage: Bacteria; Pseudomonadati; Pseudomonadota; Betaproteobacteria; Burkholderiales; Sutterellaceae. The record is from RNAcentral.
AGAGUUUGAUCCUGGCUCAGAUUGAACGCUGGCGGCAUGCUUUACACAUGCAAGUCGAACGGCAGCAUGGAGAGCUUGCUCUCUGAUGGCGAGUGGCGAACGGGUGAGUAAUACAUCGGAACGUGUCCUUUUGUGGGGGAUAACUACUCGAAAGAGUAGCUAAUACCGCAUAAGACCUAAGGGUGAAAGCGGGGGACCUUCGGGCCUCGCGCAGUUGGAGCGGCCGAUGACUGAUUAGCUAGUUGGUGGGGUAAAGGCCUACCAAGGCGACGAUCAGUAGCUGGUCUGAGAGGACGACCAGCCACAUUGGGACUGAGACACGGCCCAAACUCCUACGGGAGGCAGCAGUGGGGAAUUUUGGACAAUGGGGGCAACCCUGAUCCAGCCAUGCCGCGUGCGGGAAGAAGGCCUUCGGGUUGUAAACCGCUUUUGUUAGGAACGAAAAGGUAUCUGUGAACAACAGGUAUUGCUGACGGUACCUAAAGAAUAAGCACCGGCUAACUACGUGCCAGCAGCCGCGGUAAUACGUAGGGUGCGAGCGUUAAUCGGAAUUACUGGGCGUAAAGCGUGCGCAGGCGGUUGGGUAAGACAGGUGUGAAAUCCCCGAGCUUAACUUGGGAACUGCACUUGUGACUGCUCAACUAGAGUAUGUCAGAGGGAGGUGGAAUUCCAAGUGUAGCAGUGAAAUGCGUAGAUAUUUGGAAGAACACCGAUGGCGAAGGCAGCCUCCUGGGAUAAUACUGACGCUCAUGCACGAAAGCGUGGGGAGCAAACAGGAUUAGAUACCCUGGUAGUCCACGCCCUAAACGAUGUCAACUAGUUGUUGGGCCGCAUGGCUUAGUAACACAGCUAACGCGAGAAGUUGACCGCCUGGGGAGUACGGUCGCAAGAUUAAAACUCAAAGGAAUUGACGGGGACCCGCACAAGCGGUGGAUGAUGUGGAUUAAUUCGAUGCAACGCGAAAAACCUUACCU